UGCUAUGAUGAUUUGCUCCUCAACUGUUCGCUUAUAAAUUCUUGAAAAAUUCUACUAUAAGAAUUAUUCGUAAGUAAUCCUUGGAUGUCUGAGC
This 94-nucleotide small nucleolar RNA is filed under the name Guillardia theta. The record is from RNAcentral. Lineage: Eukaryota; Cryptophyceae; Pyrenomonadales; Geminigeraceae.